Molecule: ribosomal RNA, 31 nt
Filed under: uncultured Amphisphaeriaceae
Lineage: Eukaryota; Fungi; Ascomycota; Sordariomycetes; Amphisphaeriales; Amphisphaeriaceae
Description: partial 18S ribosomal RNA
Source: RNAcentral
UCCGUAGGAAGGACCUACGGAGGGAUCAUUA